Molecule: long non-coding RNA, 1167 nt
Filed under: Calidris pygmaea (Spoon-billed sandpiper)
Lineage: Eukaryota; Metazoa; Chordata; Aves; Charadriiformes; Scolopacidae
Description: lncRNA (ENSCPGG00000002693.1)
Source: RNAcentral
GGAGGGAGGUUUUCGCCCAUCCUGCGCAGCCUUCACCAGCAAUGCUCGUGUCCCCACUCAGGGGACAGCGUGGGGCUGGCACAGCCAGCGUGCUGGAGCAGUACCCGGGCUUCUGCUCCAGGUCCAUCCAGGGGGUUGCCUCCUGUGCCUUCUGGUCUCCUGGGGUGACUCCUGCAUGGACAGCCUGUGCUGAGGGGUGGAGGGGCUCUGUGGCACCAAGGAAGGUGUGUCCCCCCCCCCGGGUUACUGCCCGGUGCACAUGCUGGGAUGUGCCACAGGGACCUUUGCUGCCGGCUGGACAUCAGUGCCUCUGCAGCCGAGACUGUCCCUCUCUCCAUCAGCCGGGGGAACGGGGGUACCUGGGGAGGGGAGGGCACCAUUGGCUGCAGUUGCUGUCAGAUGCCUUUGUUUUUCCUGCGCAGGGUGGUGCCAACCCAGAGGGUCGGGAGCCAGUCCUUCACAGGGGAUGCAGGGCAGGACUUGUCAGUGGAGCAGGAUCGGGAUCAGGCCCUCAGCAGCCAUCCCCGGGGAGGGCUGAGCGCUGCCGACAGCCCUGGUGCCAAGCUGGAGAGUGUGGGGGGAGUGAGGGGGGACCGGCGGUCUCAGCAGCUCUGCAGGGUCCUCUCUGGGGGAUCUCCACGCACACCGUUGGCAGCCAGCAGGGAGGGAGCGGCUCCUCUUUCCUGGCAGUGCUGGCUGCUCUCUCCUGUCUUUUCUUCUGCCCUGGGGUGGCGUGGGUGGCCCUGGUGGCACCCUGUGGCAGGGAACCAGUGCGAAAGCGGUACAGGCGGGUCGUGAUGGCAGCACCGACCCGCUGGUACCCUUGGCAGUUCUGGGUGCUGGUGGGGACCAGCUCUCCUGGAUGCAGUCUGGUGGGGCGAGCUGCUGGUGGGAUGCUGCUGCUGACACGGCUUGGGACCAGGGUCCGUCGGAGCUGCCAGGGGCAUGCCCUCGGCUGGGGUGAGGGGUUCCAGGGUCCCGGGGCUGUGAUGGCCAUGUCCAGAGCUGGUUCCCUUCCUGCCGUGUCUCAUGACACGCUGCUGCUGCCGGGGUGCAGGGAGGGAGCAGACGAUGGGAGUGCGAGGCUCAACCAGCAAUUAGUCCUCCGAGUGUCUUGACUCACCGAACUGUAAUAAACCAUGAAUUAUGACUGGGAGCUUUGUGAAG